GCAAUGGCAAUGAAACUUUCAGAAGGUAGUUGUCUCUGUCCUGCUCCUGUUAACAGAGGAUUAUCAGCUUUUCAUUUCUUCCAGCACCUGGUCUCCUUCCAGAGCAACUAGUCUACUCCGUUCCUUCCUCUAGGAAGCUUUUACCUAUGAAAAUCAAACAACACCUUAUUUAAUACAGAAACAAAAUGUGGCAGUUCCUUUUGGUGUUUUAUGUGAUCCAAGGAACUGUGUCUUCAGAAUGCGAUACUACAGAUGUGAAUCCUGAAGUAUACAUGAAUAUUAGUGAGAUUAUCCGGCAUGAAGGAUACCCAGCUGAAGAAUAUGAAGUGAUAACAGAUGAUGGUUACAUCCUCACGUUAAACAGAAUUCCUAAAAGACAAGAGUGGUCACGUAAGUAAUUAUGCUUGAUCUGGAGCUUUAUUGAUACAUGGAAUAAGCUUGAGGAAAAAACUGCCAUACUAUUUGCAUAGGGCCUGUUCUUAAGUGUUCAAUACUGAGAACAC
Molecule: long non-coding RNA, 503 nt
Organism: Heteronotia binoei (common prickly gecko)
Lineage: Eukaryota; Metazoa; Chordata; Lepidosauria; Squamata; Gekkonidae
Exons: 3
Source: RefSeq, a predicted model, not a curated record